UGGGAACGCGAAGAACCUUACCAGGUCUUGACAUCCUUUGACAAUCCUAGAGAUAGGACUUUCCCUUCGGGGACAAAGUGACAGGUGGUGCAUGGUUGUCGUCAGCUCGUGUCGUGAGAUGUUGGGUUAAGUCCCGCAACGAGCGCAACCCUAUUGUUAGUUGCCAGCAUUCAGUUGGGCACUCUAAUGAGACUGCCGGUGACAAACCGGAGGAAGGUGGGGAUGGCGUCAAAUCAUCAUGCCCCUUAUGACCUGGGCUACACACGUGCUACAAUGGAUGGUACAACGAGCAGCAAGACCGCGAGGUCAAGCGAAUCUCUUAAAAGCCAUUCUCAGUUCGGAUUGCAGGCUGCAACUCGCCUGCAUGAAGCCGGAAUCGCUAGUAAUCGCGGAUCAGCACGCCGCGGUGAAUACGUUCCCGGGUCUUGUACAC
Molecule: ribosomal RNA, 433 nt
Filed under: uncultured bacterium
Lineage: Bacteria
Description: bacterial SSU rRNA
Rfam family: Bacterial small subunit ribosomal RNA
Source: RNAcentral